Molecule: ribosomal RNA, 2442 nt
Filed under: Staphylococcus aureus
Lineage: Bacteria; Bacillati; Bacillota; Bacilli; Caryophanales; Staphylococcaceae
Also listed under: 1 other name
Description: partial 23S ribosomal RNA
Rfam family: Bacterial large subunit ribosomal RNA
Source: RNAcentral
UCUAGUGACCGAUAGUGAACCAGUACCGUGAGGGAAAGGUGAAAAGCACCCCGGAAGGGGAGUGAAAUAGAACCUGAAACCGUGUGCUUACAAGUAGUCAGAGCCCGUUAAUGGGUGAUGGCGUGCCUUUUGUAGAAUGAACCGGCGAGUUACGAUUUGAUGCAAGGUUAAGCAGUAAAUGUGGAGCCGUAGCGAAAGCGAGUCUGAAUAGGGCGUUUAGUAUUUGGUCGUAGACCCGAAACCAGGUGAUCUACCCUUGGUCAGGUUGAAGUUCAGGUAACACUGAAUGGAGGACCGAACCGACUUACGUUGAAAAGUGAGCGGAUGAACUGAGGGUAGCGGAGAAAUUCCAAUCGAACCUGGAGAUAGCUGGUUCUCUCCGAAAUAGCUUUAGGGCUAGCCUCAAGUGAUGAUUAUUGGAGGUAGAGCACUGUUUGGACGAGGGGCCCCUCUCGGGUUACCGAAUUCAGACAAACUCCGAAUGCCAAUUAAUUUAACUUGGGAGUCAGAACAUGGGUGAUAAGGUCCGUGUUCGAAAGGGAAACAGCCCAGACCACCAGCUAAGGUCCCAAAAUAUAUGUUAAGUGGAAAAGGAUGUGGCGUUGCCCAGACAACUAGGAUGUUGGCUUAGAAGCAGCCAUCAUUUAAAGAGUGCGUAAUAGCUCACUAGUCGAGUGACACUGCGCCGAAAAUGUACCGGGGCUAAACAUAUUACCGAAGCUGUGGAUUGUCCUUUGGACAAUGGUAGGAGAGCGUUCUAAGGGCGUUGAAGCAUGAUCGUAAGGACAUGUGGAGCGCUUAGAAGUGAGAAUGCCGGUGUGAGUAGCGAAAGACGGGUGAGAAUCCCGUCCACCGAUUGACUAAGGUUUCCAGAGGAAGGCUCGUCCGCUCUGGGUUAGUCGGGUCCUAAGCUGAGGCCGACAGGCGUAGGCGAUGGAUAACAGGUUGAUAUUCCUGUACCACCUAUAAUCGUUUUAAUCGAUGGGGGGACGCAGUAGGAUAGGCGAAGCGUGCGAUUGGAUUGCACGUCUAAGCAGUAAGGCUGAGUAUUAGGCAAAUCCGGUACUCGUUAAGGCUGAGCUGUGAUGGGGAGAAGACAUUGUGUCUUCGAGUCGUUGAUUUCACACUGCCGAGAAAAGCCUCUAGAUAGAAAAUAGGUGCCCGUACCGCAAACCGACACAGGUAGUCAAGAUGAGAAUUCUAAGGUGAGCGAGCGAACUCUCGUUAAGGAACUCGGCAAAAUGACCCCGUAACUUCGGGAGAAGGGGUGCUCUUUAGGGUUAACGCCCAGAAGAGCCGCAGUGAAUAGGCCCAAGCGACUGUUUAUCAAAAACACAGGUCUCUGCUAAACCGUAAGGUGAUGUAUAGGGGCUGACGCCUGCCCGGUGCUGGAAGGUUAAGAGGAGUGGUUAGCUUCUGCGAAGCUACGAAUCGAAGCCCCAGUAAACGGCGGCCGUAACUAUAACGGUCCUAAGGUAGCGAAAUUCCUUGUCGGGUAAGUUCCGACCCGCACGAAAGGCGUAACGAUUUGGGCACUGUCUCAACGAGAGACUCGGUGAAAUCAUAGUACCUGUGAAGAUGCAGGUUACCCGCGACAGGACGGAAAGACCCCGUGGAGCUUUACUGUAGCCUGAUAUUGAAAUUCGGCACAGCUUGUACAGGAUAGGUAGGAGCCUUUGAAACGUGAGCGCUAGCUUACGUGGAGGCGCUGGUGGGAUACUACCCUAGCUGUGUUGGCUUUCUAACCCGCACCACUUAUCGUGGUGGGAGACAGUGUCAGGCGGGCAGUUUGACUGGGGCGGUCGCCUCCUAAAAGGUAACGGAGGCGCUCAAAGGUUCCCUCAGAAUGGUUGGAAAUCAUUCAUAGAGUGUAAAGGCAUAAGGGAGCUUGACUGCGAGACCUACAAGUCGAGCAGGGUCGAAAGACGGACUUAGUGAUCCGGUGGUUCCGCAUGGAAGGGCCAUCGCUCAACGGAUAAAAGCUACCCCGGGGAUAACAGGCUUAUCUCCCCCAAGAGUUCACAUCGACGGGGAGGUUUGGCACCUCGAUGUCGGCUCAUCGCAUCCUGGGGCUGUAGUCGGUCCCAAGGGUUGGGCUGUUCGCCCAUUAAAGCGGUACGCGAGCUGGGUUCAGAACGUCGUGAGACAGUUCGGUCCCUAUCCGUCGUGGGCGUAGGAAAUUUGAGAGGAGCUGUCCUUAGUACGAGAGGACCGGGAUGGACAUACCUCUGGUGUACCAGUUGUCGUGCCAACGGCAUAGCUGGGUAGCUAUGUGUGGACGGGAUAAGUGCUGAAAGCAUCUAAGCAUGAAGCCCCCCUCAAGAUGAGAUUUCCCAACUUCGGUUAUAAGAUCCCUCAAAGAUGAUGAGGUUAAUAGGUUCGAGGUGGAAGCAUGGUGACAUGUGGAGCUGACGAAUACUAAUCGAUCGAAGACUUAAUCAA